CUGCGUCAAAGGACAACGGUCGAUGGCGCGGCGGCUGAAGAAGGGAGCGUAUAUCCAAUAUAAGAAGAGAACAAAAUAGGUUUAUGUCGGAUACUUUGACCAUUCGCCCGUAAAGUAACUUCGCUCUACGACUGACGCCCGCAGCCUCAUAUGUUAUAUUAUAUCCUUAUCCUAUCUAUACGAUAAAAUAUUACAUCUCCGAUGUUCUUCCGGGGAUAAAAUCCUGUUAGGUAUUACAUUAUUAUGUUAUUUUUGAGGAAAGUAAGGUAAGGAUUUAUGUCAUUUUGACGAAGGUAAGGUUGCGGUACCAAGGUGCUGGAAUAGCGACCCCGCACCGGGAAGCGCAGUGUUGGUCGACACCCCACUAGGUGGACUGAGACAUCAAGCGGGUUGCAGGGAGCCGCUGAAUGCUGGCAGCUCAAGACCGUGUUGUUUGGAUGUCCAUUUAGGAGGCCUAGUUUAUGAUCAGCUACGUUUUACUUUGCAUAGACGCAGGGAGCCACGAGCAGCCCAUGGUGAAAAGAGAUUGCCUAGAAGACACCCAUGUUUUAGGUGGUAGGGAAAAGGGAAGUUGGAAAGGGCAUUCCAUAACUUCGCAGUGCGAAUUAGGAACGAUGAGCAGAAACGCUUCGUACAAGUCCAAGAAACAUCAACCACGUAUAGAUGCAGAACUCUACUAUGCCUGCGUUCUAUGGUAAAAAGGGAGACCUGACACCUACGGUACCUACGUACGUUCAUAUCGGAAAUAAUUAUUAUACACCUAUAAAUGGAAUUCCUCGUCUAACAGACCCAUCAACAGUAAAUAACAGUAAAGAAUUCACUGUAUAUGAAACUUUUUAAAACUGCACAUCG
This is a long non-coding RNA of Bicyclus anynana (squinting bush brown), 852 nucleotides long. RefSeq lists it as uncharacterized. Lineage: Eukaryota; Metazoa; Arthropoda; Insecta; Lepidoptera; Nymphalidae. The record is from RefSeq and is a predicted model, not a curated record. The transcript is spliced from 3 exons.